AUGGCGCCUCCCCGCGGCGGAGCUGCUGCGGCCGCUCCCGCCGCACUGGACCUGACCGGCGUGCACAUUCUAGAAGCUUCCAGCGUCCCCCCGCUUCCCGAACGCGGCGGAAAUGCGGUCCAAAGGAAGGAGGCUGUUGACCCGGAUAAAGAUAGGAAGAAGGAGAAGGCUGCGGCACCGAGGAUCACCGGUUGGGGGCUCCGCGAGUACAGCAAAAUAGUUUGUGAGAAAGUUGAAGCCAAAGGAAGAACAACAUACAAUGAGGUUGCAGAUGAAAUUUAUUCAGAGCUGAAGUCCAUGGCACAUAUUGGUCAAGGGUUUGAUGAGAAGAACAUUAGGCGGAGAGUGUAUGAUGCUUUCAACGUUCUCAUUGCACUUCGUGUUAUUGCAAAAGAAAAAAAGGAGAUACGUUGGAUGGGCCUUUCAAAUUAUAGAUAUGAAAAGAUAAAGAAGCUGGAGGAAGUUCGCAAAGAACUCACCAACAAGAUUAGGAACAAGAAGGCACUCCUCCAGGAAAUCGAAAAACAGUUUGAUGAUCUCCAAAACAUCAAGUUACGUAACCAAACACUGGAAAGCUCAGCGGAGAAUGUUAAUGGCAUCCGCCUUCCAUUCGUACUGGUCAAGACAUCUAGGAAAGCAAGGGUGGAAAUUGAGAUUUCAGACGACUCAAAGUUUGCCCAUUUCGAGUUCAAUGGUGCACCAUUCACAUUGCAUGAUGAUCUCUCAAUCCUUGAGGGGAUAAGGCGUAACAGCAUAGGAAGAGCUGGCCGCGCCACCCUUCACUAG
Molecule: ribosomal RNA, 786 nt
Filed under: Triticum aestivum (bread wheat)
Lineage: Eukaryota; Viridiplantae; Streptophyta; Magnoliopsida; Poales; Poaceae
Description: partial small subunit ribosomal RNA
Source: RNAcentral